GCCAGAGUGGUGGAACGGCAGACACGCGGGUCUUAGGAACCCGUGCCCACGGGCGUGAGGGUUCGAGUCCCUCCUCUGGCACCA
This 84-nucleotide transfer RNA is filed under the name Actinomycetota bacterium. RNAcentral describes it as "tRNA-Leu". It matches the Rfam family "tRNA". From Rfam's summary of the family: Transfer RNA (tRNA) molecules are approximately 80 nucleotides in length. The record is from RNAcentral. Lineage: Bacteria; Bacillati; Actinomycetota.